CAUGUAGGCGGCUUAAUAAGUCGAGCGUGAAAAUGCGGGGCUCAACCCCGUAUGGCGCUGGAAACUGUUAGGCUUGAGUGCAGGAGAGGAAAGGGGAAUUCCCGAGUGUAGCGGUGAAAUGCGUAGAUAUUGGGAGGAACACCAGUGGCGAAGGCGCCUUUCUGGACUGUGUCUGACGCUGAGAUGCGAAAGCCAGGGUAGCGAACG
This 207-nucleotide ribosomal RNA is filed under the name uncultured bacterium. Its description in RNAcentral is "partial 16S ribosomal RNA". It matches the Rfam family "Bacterial small subunit ribosomal RNA", at positions 568 to 774 of the family's 1533-position model. The record is from RNAcentral.